AUUGAACGCUGGCGGCAGGCCUAACACAUGCAAGUCGAACGCGAAAGUCACUUCGGUGGCGAGUAGAGUGGCGGACGGGUGAGUAACGCGUAGGAAUCUGCCCUGUAGUGGGGGAUAACCCGGGGAAACUCGGGCUAAUACCGCAUACGCCCCACGGGGGAAAGCGGGGGAUCCUUCGGGACCUCGCGCUAUAGGAAGAGCCUGCGUCGGAUUAGCUAGUUGGUAGGGUAAAGGCCUACCAAGGCGACGAUCCGUAGCUGGUCUGAGAGGAUGAUCAGCCACACCGGAACUGAGACACGGUCCGGACUCCUACGGGAGGCAGCAGUGGGGAAUAUUGCGCAAUGGGCGAAAGCCUGACGCAGCCAUGCCGCGUGUGUGAAG
This 381-nucleotide ribosomal RNA is filed under the name uncultured bacterium. Its description in RNAcentral is "bacterial SSU rRNA". It matches the Rfam family "Bacterial small subunit ribosomal RNA", at positions 29 to 410 of the family's 1533-position model. The record is from RNAcentral.